UUCUGACCGUAAACGAUGCCAACUAGCGAUCCGCCGGCGGCUUCUCGGCCCUGGUGGGGAGCUUCCCGGAAACGAAAGUCUUCCGGUUCCGGGGGAAGUAUGGUUGCAAAGCUGAAACUUAAAGGAAUUGACGGAAGGGCACCACCAGGAGUGGAGCCUGCGGCUUAAUUUGACUCAACACGGGAAAACUCACCCGGCCCGGACACCGUGAGGAUUGACAGAUUGAUAGCUUUUUCAUGAUUCGGUGGUUGGUGGUGCAUGGCCGUUCUUAGUUCGUGGAUCGAUUUGUCUGGUUUAUUCCGAUAACGAGCGAGACUCCAGCCUACUAACUAGUGCGGGCAUUGCCUCUGUGCUUGUCACUUCUUAGAGGGAUUGGCUGCGUCUAGCGGCACGAAACGGAGCAAUAACAGGUCUGUGAUGCCCUUAGAUGUCCGGGGCUGCACGCGCGCUACACUGGCAAAAGCAGCGUGCUUGUCCGCCUCCGAAAGGAGCCGGUAAACCCUUGAAAAUUUGCCGUGAUUGGGAUCGGAAAUUGCAAUUAUUUUCCGUGAACGAGGAAUUCCUAGUAAGUGCGAGUCAUCAGCUCGCGUUG
Molecule: ribosomal RNA, 592 nt
Filed under: Ogma sp. LC1-01
Lineage: Eukaryota; Metazoa; Nematoda; Chromadorea; Rhabditida; Criconematidae
Also listed under: 1 other name
Description: SSU rRNA
Rfam family: Eukaryotic small subunit ribosomal RNA
Source: RNAcentral